RNAcentral lists this ribosomal RNA (460 nucleotides) under uncultured bacterium. RNAcentral describes it as "partial 16S ribosomal RNA". It matches the Rfam family "Bacterial small subunit ribosomal RNA", at positions 338 to 795 of the family's 1533-position model. The record is from RNAcentral.
CCUACGGGUGGCAGCAGUGAGGAAUAUUGGUCAAUGGGCGCGAGCCUGAACCAGCCAAGUAGCGUGAAGGAUGACUGCCCUACGGGUUGUAAACUUCUUUUAUCAAGGAAUAAAGUGAGGCACGUGUGCCUUUUUGUAUGUACUUUAUGAAUAAGGAUCGGCUAACUCCGUGCCAGCAGCCGCGGUAAUACGGAGGAUCCGAGCGUUAUCCGGAUUUAUUGGGGUUAAAGGGGGCGGAGACGGGUUGUUAAGUCAGUUGUGAAAGUUUGCGGCUCAACCGUAAAAUUGCAAUUGAUACUGGCAGUCUUGAGUACAGUUGAGGUAGGCGGAAUUCGUGGGGUAGCGGUGAAAUGCUUAGAUAUCACGAAGAACUCCGAUUGCGAAGGCAGCUUACUAAGCUGCCACUGACAUUGAUGCACGAAAGUGUGGGGAUCAAACAGGAGUAGAUACCCCAGUAGUC